AAAAUAUCCUGCUCAAUGAUUUUUUAAAUUGCUGUGGUAUUUUGACUAUACAAAGGUAUUGAAAUAAGAUUUUAAUUGAAUGCUAAGAGAAUGGAAGUCCAGAAAAAAACUUUUUUUAAAUUAAAAAUUGAAGUUUUUUUAAUUUGUGCAGAAACAAUUAUUUAUAUUAAAGACAAGAAGACCCUAUGAAUUUAUUAAAUUUUUAUUUAAUAUGUAAUUACUAUUAGAAAAAUUUUGGCUGGGGCGGCUAGAAAAUAUUAUGAACUUUUUAAAAAUAAAAUGAUCCAUUAUUAAUGAUUUUAUGUUAAAUACUCUAGGGAUAACAGCGUAAAGCAGAA
This 338-nucleotide ribosomal RNA is filed under the name Rhipicephalus linnaei. RNAcentral's name for it is "Rhipicephalus sanguineus sensu lato 'tropical lineage' partial 16S ribosomal RNA". The record is from RNAcentral. Lineage: Eukaryota; Metazoa; Arthropoda; Arachnida; Ixodida; Ixodidae.